AUGAACGCUGGCGGCGUGCCUAAUACAUGCAAGUCGAGCGAACGGACGAGAAGCUUGCUUUUCUGAUGUUAGCGGCGGACGGGUGAGUAACACGUGGAUAACCUACCUAUAAGACUGGGAUAACUUCGGGAAACCGGAGCUAAUAUCGGAUAAUAUUUUGAACCGCAUGGUUCAAAAGUGAAAGACGGUCUUGCUGUCUCUUAUAGAUGGAUCCGCGCUGCAUUAGCUAGUUGGUAAGGUAACGGCUUACCAAGGCAACGAUGCAUAGCCGACCUGAGAGGGUGAUCGGCCACACUGGAACUGAGACACGGUCCAGACUCCUACGGGAGGCAGCAGUAGGGAAUCUUCCGCAAUGGGCGAAAGCCUGACGGAGCAACGCCGCGUGAGUGAUGAAGGUCUUCGGAUCGUAAAACUCUGUUAUUAGGGAAGAACAUAUGUGUAAGUAACUGUGCACAUCUUGACGGUACCUAAUCAGAAAGCCACGGCUAACUACGUG
This 496-nucleotide ribosomal RNA is filed under the name uncultured bacterium. RNAcentral describes it as "partial 16S ribosomal RNA". It matches the Rfam family "Bacterial small subunit ribosomal RNA", at positions 29 to 507 of the family's 1533-position model. The record is from RNAcentral.